ACUCCUACGGGAGGCAGCAGUGGGGAAUAUUGGACAAUGCGGGCAACCCUGAUCCAGCAAUGCCAUGUGUGUGAAGAAGGACCUAGGGGUGUAAAGCACUUUAGUUGGGGAGGAAAGCCACAAGGUUAAUAGCCUUGGGGGAGGACGUUACCCAAAGAAUAAGCACCGCCUAACUCCGUGCCAGCAGCCGCGGUAAUACGGGGGGUGCAAGCGUAAAACGGAAUUACUGGGCGUAAAGGGU
This 241-nucleotide ribosomal RNA is filed under the name Francisella tularensis subsp. holarctica. Its description in RNAcentral is "partial 16S ribosomal RNA". It matches the Rfam family "Bacterial small subunit ribosomal RNA", at positions 335 to 568 of the family's 1533-position model. Lineage: Bacteria; Pseudomonadati; Pseudomonadota; Gammaproteobacteria; Thiotrichales; Francisellaceae. The record is from RNAcentral.